Molecule: ribosomal RNA, 253 nt
Filed under: uncultured bacterium
Lineage: Bacteria
Description: partial 16S ribosomal RNA
Rfam family: Bacterial small subunit ribosomal RNA
Source: RNAcentral
UACAGAGGGUGCGAGCGUUAAUCGGAAUUACUGGGCGUAAAGCGUGCGUAGACGGCUAUCUAAGUCGGGUGUGAAAGCCCCGGGCUCAACCUGGGAAUUGCAUUCGAGACUGAAUAGCUAGGGUGCGGUAGAGGGAAGCGGAAUUUCCGGUGCAGCGGUGAAAUGCGUAGAUAUCGGAAGGAACAUCAGUGGCGAAAGCGGCUUCCUGGACCAGCACCGACGUUCAGGCACGAAAGCGUGGGGAGCAAACAGG